CAGUGAAGGAUGUGACCAAGAAUUCCUGUACUGUCGCAUGGGACAUACCAGAGAAUGAAGGAGGGGCACCAGUAAAGAAUUAUUUUGUGGACAUAAGGGACAUCAGCAGAAUGGGAUGGACCAGGCUCACGGACAAAUGCCACAGGCUGUCGUACCGAGUGUCAGACCUGGAAGAGGGCGGAAUCUACUUCUUCAGAAUCACUGCAGAAAAUGAGUUUGGGAUUGGAGUACCAGCGGAGACAAAGGAGGGAGUCAAAUUAACAGAUCCUACAGACUGGGAGACAAAUGCAGGAGCAUAAAUGUUCAAAAGAAACAAUGUGCUGAUGAUGAUAAUAAUGGUUUUAAUGUUUAAGAAUAAUCUUAUGUUUCCUUUGCAAACUUUUAUAGGCAUAAUAAGAUAAUAUAUUAUAGAAUUAAUAACACCAAUAAUGUCAUUUUGUAAACAAAUUUGAUUUGCUGGUUUUAUUAAACUUUGUUUAAUGCCA
Molecule: long non-coding RNA, 485 nt
Organism: Boleophthalmus pectinirostris (great blue-spotted mudskipper)
Lineage: Eukaryota; Metazoa; Chordata; Actinopteri; Gobiiformes; Gobiidae
Exons: 2
Source: RefSeq, a predicted model, not a curated record